AGUGAACGCUGGCGGUAGGCCUAACACAUGCAAGUCGAACGGCAGCACAGUAAGAGCUUGCUCUUACGGGUGGCGAGUGGCGGACGGGUGAGGAAUACAUCGGAAUCUACUUUUUCGUGGGGGAUAACGUCGGGAAACUUACGCUAAUACCGCAUACGACCUACGGGUGAAAGCAGGGGAUCUUCGGACCUUGCGCGAUUGAAUGAGCCGAUGUCGGAUUAGCUAGUUGGCGGGGUAAAGGCCCACCAAGGCGACGAUCCGUAGCUGGUCUGAGAGGAUGAUCAGCCACACUGGAACUGAGACACGGUCCAGACUCCUACGGGAGGCAGCAGUGGGGAAUAUUGGACAAUGGGCGCAAGCCUGAUCCAGCUAUACCGCGUGGGUGAAGAAGGCCUUCGGGUUGUAAAGCCCUUUUGUUGGGAAAGAAAAGCAGCAGGUUAAUACCCCGCUGUUCUGACGGUACCCAAAGAAUAAGCACCGGCUAACUUCGUG
Molecule: ribosomal RNA, 492 nt
Filed under: uncultured bacterium
Lineage: Bacteria
Description: partial 16S ribosomal RNA
Rfam family: Bacterial small subunit ribosomal RNA
Source: RNAcentral